Molecule: ribosomal RNA, 440 nt
Filed under: uncultured archaeon
Lineage: Archaea
Description: bacterial SSU rRNA
Rfam family: Archaeal small subunit ribosomal RNA
Source: RNAcentral
GGAGGUUACUGCUAUCGGUGUUCGCCUAACCCAUGCAAGUCAUAUGUUCUUCGUGAACAUGGCGUACUGCUCAGUAACACGUGAAUAACCUGCCCUUGGGACCGGCAUAACCCCGGGAAACUGGGGAUAAUUCCGGAUACCGCAUAUAUGCUGGAAUGCUUUAUGCGUGAAAUGGAUUCGUCUGCCCAAGGAUGGAUCUGCGGCCUAUCAGGUAGUAGUGGGUGUAAUGUACCUACUACCCUACAACGGGUACGGGUUGUGAGAGCAAAAGCCCGGAAAUGGAUUCUGAAACAUGAAUCCAGGCCCUACGGGGCGCACCAGGCGCGAAAACUUUACAAUGCGGGAAACCGUGAUAAGGGGACACCGAGUGCCACCAACAUUUGUUGGCUGUCCAGGUGUGUAAACUACACCUGUUAGCAAGGGCCGGGCAAGACCGGUGC